Molecule: transfer RNA, 89 nt
Filed under: Betaproteobacteria bacterium
Lineage: Bacteria; Pseudomonadati; Pseudomonadota; Betaproteobacteria
Also listed under: 2 other names
Description: tRNA-Ile
Source: RNAcentral
CCGGCGGCGGCGCGUUGACGCUGCCGGCGCUGAUGGCGCCGGUGCCGGAGUUGCCGUUGCUGGCCGCCGUGCGGAUCGGCGCCGCGGCG